This 433-nucleotide long non-coding RNA is filed under the name Apteryx rowi (Okarito brown kiwi). Its description in RNAcentral is "lncRNA (ENSARWG00000004844.1)". The record is from RNAcentral. Lineage: Eukaryota; Metazoa; Chordata; Aves; Apterygiformes; Apterygidae.
CGGCAGUGCUCGGGCCGCCUGGCGGGAGGCGCCUCCCGCCGCCCGGCCCGCCACAGGCGGCGGGGGCCGAGACGGGCCCGUCUCCGCCGCGGGAGCGUGCUGGCGCGGUUUGCCCCCCUGCCUUUGCUCGCUGCCCCUACGUGACUGCAUGUGGCAAACGGGAGAGAAAUAUUAAUCGUUUAAAAGCGAUGCACCAUGCAAAAAUCUCAUUGUUAGACCAGGACAGUGCAUUUUACAAAACAGGAAAAGGAGUUCCAGAAUGAUGAAGAAUGGAUCAACGUUCUUGUCAGAGCCUGACUUUCAACAAAAAGGAAAAUUUUUGGAAAUUGACAAUACAGAAUAUUUUGCCUUAUGUUUAGUUACCUGCAGAUUGGCCAUCUGCAUAUAUCAUGGUUAAGUAACUUUUUUGAGAAAUGAAACAAAGAUACUGAAG